Molecule: ribosomal RNA, 375 nt
Filed under: uncultured bacterium
Lineage: Bacteria
Description: bacterial SSU rRNA
Rfam family: Bacterial small subunit ribosomal RNA
Source: RNAcentral
UACGGAGGGUGCAAGCGUUAUUCGGAAUUACUGGGCGUAAAGCGCACGCAGGCGGUCUGUCAAGUCGGAUGUGAAAUCCCCGGGCUCAACCUGGGAACUGCAUUCGAAACUGGCAGGCUAGAGUCUUGUAGAGGGGGGUAGAAUUCCCGGUGUAGCGGUGAAAUGCGUAGCGAUCUGGAGGAAUACCGGUGGCGAAGGCGGCCCCCUGGACAAAGACUGACGCUCAGGUGCGAAAGCGUGGGGAGCAAACAGGAUUAGAUACCCUGGUAGUCCACGCCGUAAACGAUGUCGAUUUGGAGGUUGUGCCCUUGAGGCGUGGCUUCCGGAGCUAACGCGUUAAAUCGACCGCCUGGGGAGUACGGCCGCAAGGUUAAA